Ctenopharyngodon idella (grass carp) is the source of this 4149-nucleotide long non-coding RNA. RefSeq lists it as uncharacterized. The record is from RefSeq and is a predicted model, not a curated record. NCBI's taxonomy places the organism in Eukaryota, Metazoa, Chordata, Actinopteri, Cypriniformes, Xenocyprididae. The transcript is spliced from 2 exons.
CUUCAGCUUAUUACCACAGUAAGGGUUUAUGACGGGGCCUGAGGAGGGCGCUGUCGCGUCAUAAAACCUAGAAGGAUGGUAUGGCUUAAGAGCAAAAGGGGUUUUGCCAACACUUCUGAUUGGAGAAUAUCAAAUAUUCUGUGGCUUUCACUGAGCGAAUGGACUGUAUGUCCUUAAUCUCGGCCUGGGGUGAUUUGUGAUUGCUCAGACAAGAACUCAGUGGCGGGGGCAACCUCUCCUAGACGUUCCAACACUUGGCUGUCGUGUUCCUCGGCACCCUGUGCCUUUUGCACUGCGAUGCAACCUCUCAAACAGGGGCUUUCAGCACAAUUGCGUGUUUGGGCAAGGUGUUUGCGCCAACGGCCAGAUUGGCGGCCAAAAUUGUAUUUUUCCCAACCCCAGAGUCUGACCCCGCAGGCAGUUACUCAAAGGGCGGUUCUGUCGUGCAGAAACAGGGAAAUUAAACAAAAUUGCCUUUGUUGCCAACCUGGACUCAUUGCCUCCUUGCACCUGACACACCCAACCUGCUGAUGUCCCUGCGUGUUGCCCGUGGUACGAGGUCAGAAGUGACUGAGGUUCACCCACAGCCAGUGAGAGAUCCGCCAGGCUAGUUUACUCCGCGCACUGGAACUCACUGGAACAACCGUCAACUCACCACCGGUCGCUAGAGGGCCCUAUUUGCAAAUACACAAGUGGUCACGCAAACACAGCUUAAUUGUAAAUUUAAAUCUUAAUUUAAAUCUUGUUUAAACUGAAUUUAAAUAAUCAAGUGUGUAGGACAAAAGAAUAGGGGUCUAAAAUGACAGUCAGAAUGAAUUAGCUAAAAGCAGAAAAGAAAAAUAAGGUAAGGCAAAGUAAAACACAACAAUUCAGAGGCACUUGAUUCAAAUUUGAAUUAAACUCUGUUCAAUUGAAUUUAAAUAAGUGCGUAGAAUAACAGAAUGGGAAAAAGAAAGGAGAAGGUCUUCCCUAUUGGAGAAUUCCCUAAAGGGAAUUGCUUCUUGAGCAAAAUGCCAACUGAUUGACACUACUUAAUUUUAAAUCUCAAUUAAAUGUUGUUUAAUUAAAUUUAAAAAUAAGUGUAUAAAAUAAGGGAAACUUGGAUGUGAGAAUGCUGUUACCAGCAAAUCACAAACAGGACACAGACCUAAGAGUGGAUAAAAAUAAAAAGUAAGUAAUAACAAGAAAGGAAUUUCCAAAGUAAAAACUCAAGAGAGAAAGAGAGUAUAAUGAAAGAAAAUCAAGUAGAAUAAUAAAAUAACAGAGCAGAGAAAAUCUGUGAACACAGGAAAAGCAGGAAAGGGGACAAAUACUCAGAGACGGGAACUAACUUAUCUGGGAGUGUCCACCAGGGGAAGCACUUUCAGAAAGUGAAUUCUCUUGUUGAAAGGGAAACUUAAUUUAAAUUAAAAAUUUAAACGUAUUUAAAUCAAAUUUAAAUCGGUAAACCACAUUCCAAACACGAUUGAAAAGCAUAACCAUCAACAAACAUUUAUAGCGGCAAGCUAGAUUAAAGUAGCCAAAAGGAAUUUGGAAACACUUCAGCUCAACGUAUGGAGAGCAGAGUUAACCCAGAACGUCCACACGAUGGCGUUAGUGAGUCCACACAACAAUGAAGUAGGGAGGGGUGCCGCACACCUGAACAGAUUGCCUUCUGGCGUCUGGUCAGAGGUACUGCAUCCACCUACUUUAAUUCGUGAUAUUUUAAAUUAGCGCGUCUGUGGGGUUCUGAUUCCCUUACGGCUGAUUUAACUGCACUAUCACGGUUACAAACUUUAGAAUCUCGGCGGAUUCUUUGGUGCCAGGUUACUGGACACUAAUAUGCCCCUUUAAUACGGGUACACAAUUUUGGGGAUUAGUGGACCCCUGUUUGUGCAAACUUAGUGCACACGAAUAUGUAACUUUUGCAGGAUUUCUUCGCUGCUGUUACGAGUCACGCUGGAUCAGGUCGUGGCUGGCUCCCAAUUUUUACACAUCAAUCGGAUUUCAGAUAAACUGUUUUCAGAUUAGAUUUGCAAGAGGUAACGUGAUUGGUUAGCUAUGCCAAUGACGUUACCCAGGGAGCGAGACGCUAUUUUGAAUUAUUGGACGACACAGUAAUUCAAAUUUAAUAGCGCUACAAUUAUGAGGCCUUCAGAAAGAGUCUGUGAGAAACUCGUCACAGCUCCUUUUCAAAAAACUACGCUGAAUACGAUUCAAUUCGUUUAUUCAAGCGGAAAUUAAUAUUAACUGUAUAUUGCAAAAAGAUUGUCGCCUUUUGCAGAUACGAGUUUGAAAUAUUAAUUGGACUGCAGUUUACUUUACGGUCAACAAUUGACUACAGUGUUUUUAGGCACAAAUAGCUUGUUAACGUUUUUUCAGAAUGAGGGACGCGUUGUCGGCUCACUCAAUAAGGCGCGCAUAUACACAUUAAAUCACACAAAAUUAUUCUAGGUUGCUCAUACACAAAACCAAGUUUAAAACGUUGCCCGCAUUCUCCACCAAAUAAUCUGUAGCGAAUCUGUACAGGUAUUUAAUUAAUUUAUGGGUGAAAUAUAUGAAUAUAAUAAAUCAUAAAGCUUUAUGAUUAAUUAUAAUACAUAUACCGACCCGAGAGGGAAUUAUACAUAUAUUGUGAAUUAAUUACAACGAAUUAUAAUCAGUCACAUAUAUGAUUAGGUCUGGUUUGAUAAUAAUUUAGAGAAACUAUUAGUUUGUUCAGCAAACCGUUAGCUCCUCAUAGCCGAUUAUAAAAGGAAGGUUUUUCUCUGGCCACGAGAAAGACUUCCUAUUCUAGCAUCAAUGCGUAAAGCAAGGAUACUGGAUCGAAACGUUAAAGUGACCUGGGUUUGUUGCAUGAGCAAAAAGGACAAUCGAGCAUGAAUAUAAUGUAUUUAAUAUAUGAAACUACGGAUACAGAGACUAUACUACUAGACAUACACAAACAAUACACAUAUAUAGAAAACGAAAGUAAAGUCAAGAAAACAGAGGUGAUCAAAGGAAUGGCAACUUACUAACAGUUAAAACCUUUGAGAGCCAGCAAGGAAACUCAGCUUACACGUCGAGCUUAAAACGCUUUGGAAAGAAUGGUUCUAUACUUGCAUAGGUUCAGGUGCUGUGGUCGUUUCGUGUUUCUGCAGGAGUUUCGGUGCGUGCGGCUGAAGCGAUUGGUCCUUUUCCGAGAAGGUGUUCUUCGGCGGGAUUUUCAAACACGGGUUUAACUUAAGAGUAAGAUAACCGGAAAAGAAAGAAAAAGAGUCCGUCUCCUAGGCGAUGAAGAGUGAAGACUUAGGGCGACGGAUGAAGAGGGUUUGACAAAGAAACUUGUUGCCAAAAGAUGGUCGUCCCGAAGAGAGGGGGGCGCGUGAUGGAAGCGCGGUCGCCGAGACGUCCGGGAGAGACGUGUGUUAAAUGGCGAGAGACAAUCGAGAGACAAAGAGAGAUGCGUGUCAUUGUGUUUUAAGGACAACAGGCCAGAACGCCUCCUGGGAUACAUCAGCCAAUGAUGAGGGUGCGAUUUUGGCGGGCAAACUCUUUCUUUGUCUCCAUUUAUGACCUAAUUUACAUGGUUUAUGAAGUGUCCGAUCUGAGUACAUUUUCUUCAAAGUACCAUUAAAAAUAGAAGAAUGCAUUUUACAGUCAUGUGACAUACAUUUUCAAUUAGAGCAUAACGAAAGCUUUAUAAUGAGACCAAACUUGUCAGAUGGCAAAGACAUAAAAGGUGAGAUACAGUUUAUACUUGAGUUUUAUCGUUUAGAAGAAAACUAAUACAACUAGAGUCAUAGCUAAGCUUAUAUACUAGAGAUAAAUACAUGCACCUUUAAAUACAGCGACGGGUACAUAUUGGCACAGUCAUAUUUGGAGGAUAAAUGUACAUUCACAAUCUCCAUGCGUGUUUGUGAGUGUCUGUAUGUGUGUGUGUAUUGGGGUUGUGGCCAGUGUCUGUGACCAUAUGUCCUUUAGUCCCACCAGGGUGACUCUUUGAAGUCUCUGGAGCUGGUGAGAAUGUGUUCUGUUUUUCUUUACUGGGGUAACAAAGGUGCCAAUGGGGCAAUUGGUCCCGGACUUGCCGGAGCCGAUUCGUGAUUUACAUGCACAGUUCAGGAGGCUAAAAGCAUUCUGAAAUGUCCAAAGUUGAUUGACUAGCCGGAUCUAUCCAGACGCUACACU